GAAAUGCGAUAAGUAGUGUGAAUUGCAGAAUUCAGUGAAUCAUCGAAUCUUUGAACGCACAUUGCGCCCUAUGGUAUUCCGUAGGGCAUGCCUGUUCGAGCGUCAUUUACACCUUCAAGCCUUGCUUGGUGUUGGGUGACUGUGGCCCCUUUGGGGCCACUCGCCUUAAAGUCAUUGGCGGCCGGUUCGUUGGCUUUGUAGCGCAGCACAAUUGCGUCCUCGAAGCCGCUGGACCGGCUCCCAGAAGCUAAUUUUAAAUGUUUGACCUCGAAUCAGGUAGGGAUACCCGCUGAACUUAAGC
This 301-nucleotide unclassified non-coding RNA is filed under the name plant metagenome. Its description in RNAcentral is "partial contains 5.8S ribosomal RNA, internal transcribed spacer 2, and large subunit ribosomal RNA". The stretch from base 1 to 105 matches the Rfam family "5.8S ribosomal RNA", at positions 50 to 154 of the family's 154-position model. The record is from RNAcentral.